CCUACGGGUGGCAGCAGUGAGGAAUAUUGGUCAAUGGCCGCAGGGCUGAACCAGCCAAGUCGCGUGAGGGAUGACGGUCCUAUGGAUUGUAAACCUCUUUUGUCAGGGAGCAAAGGGCGCCACGUGUGGCGCUUUGCGAGUACCUGAAGAAAAAGCAUCGGCUAACUCCGUGCCAUCAGCGGCGGUAAUACGGAGGAUGCGAGCGUUAUCCGGAUUUAUUGGGUUUAAAGGGUUCGCGGGCGGAAUGUAAAGUCAGCGGGAAAAUUUCGGGGCUCAACCCCGUCGUGCCGUUGAAACUGGCGUUCUUGAGUGAGCGAGAAGUAUGCGGAAUGCGUGGUGUAGCGGUGAAAUGCGUAGAUAUCACGAAGAACACCAGUUGCGAAGGCAGCAUGCCGGAGCUCAACUGACGCUGAUGCGCGAAAGCGUGGGUAUCGAACAGGAUUAGAUACCCUAGUAGUC
This 459-nucleotide ribosomal RNA is filed under the name uncultured bacterium. RNAcentral describes it as "partial 16S ribosomal RNA". It matches the Rfam family "Bacterial small subunit ribosomal RNA", at positions 338 to 795 of the family's 1533-position model. The record is from RNAcentral.